UCAUCUGUUCAUAUAUUUUUUAAAGUUUGUUUAAGUGCCUUUUAACUUGUGAAGGGUUUUAUAUUAUGUAGCUUUGCAUAUUUCUGAAUUCUUCUCCUUUCCGGGACAAGGUUUAACUUGAAGUGUAUUGACGUGUAAAUUGGCCGCUUUUCUGUUGCAGAUGGCAAAGCCAGGUUUCACGGGACAGCAAUCCAGCUUAAAAGAAG
RNAcentral lists this unclassified non-coding RNA (206 nucleotides) under Hevea brasiliensis (rubber tree). Lineage: Eukaryota; Viridiplantae; Streptophyta; Magnoliopsida; Malpighiales; Euphorbiaceae. The record is from RNAcentral.